This 253-nucleotide ribosomal RNA is filed under the name uncultured bacterium. RNAcentral describes it as "partial 16S ribosomal RNA". It matches the Rfam family "Bacterial small subunit ribosomal RNA", at positions 524 to 776 of the family's 1533-position model. The record is from RNAcentral.
UACGAAGGGGGCUAGCGUUGCUCGGAAUCACUGGGCGUAAAGGGUGCGUAGGCGGCCUUCUAAGUCGAACGUGAAAUCCCCGGGCUCAACCCGGGAACUGCGUCCGAUACUGGAAGGCUUGAAUCCGGGAGAGGGAUGCGGAAUUCCAGGUGUAGCGGUGAAAUGCGUAGAUAUCUGGAGGAACACCGGUGGCGAAGGCGGCAUCCUGGACCGGCAUUGACGCUGAGGCGCGAAAGCCAGGGGAGCAAACGGG